Molecule: ribosomal RNA, 468 nt
Filed under: uncultured bacterium
Lineage: Bacteria
Description: partial 16S ribosomal RNA
Rfam family: Bacterial small subunit ribosomal RNA
Source: RNAcentral
GACGAACGCUGGCGGCGCGCCUAACACAUGCAAGUCGAACGGAGUCAAGAGGAGCUUGCUUUUCUUGACUUAGUGGCGAACGGGUGAGUAACGCGUGAGUAACCUGCCCUGGAGUGGGGGACAACAGUUGGAAACGACUGCUAAUACCGCAUAAGCCCACGGAUCUGCAUGGAUCUGCGGGAAAAGGAUUUAUUCGCUCUAGGAUGGACUUGCGUCCAAUUAGCUAGUUGGUGAGGUAACGGCCCACCAAGGCGACGAUUGGUAGCCGGACUGAGAGGUUGAACGGCCACAUUGGGACUGAGACACGGCCCAGAAUCCUACGGGAGGCAGCAGUGGGGGAUAUUGCACAAUGGGGGAAACCCUGAUGCAGCGACGCCGCGUGGAGGAAGAAGGUUUUCGGAUUGUAAACUCCUGUCGUUAGGGACGAUAAUGACGGUACCUAACAAGAAAGCACCGGCUAACUACGUG